Molecule: ribosomal RNA, 253 nt
Filed under: uncultured bacterium
Lineage: Bacteria
Description: partial 16S ribosomal RNA
Rfam family: Bacterial small subunit ribosomal RNA
Source: RNAcentral
UACGUAGGGGGCAAGCGUUGUCCGGAUUUAUUGGGCGUAAAGAGCGUGUAGGCGGCUAGGUAGGUCCGUUGUGAAAACUCGAGGCUCAACCUCGAGACGUCGAUGGAAACCAUCUGGCUAGAGUCCGGAAGAGGAGAGUGGAAUUCCUGGUGUAGCGGUGAAAUGCGCAGAUAUCAGGAAGAACACCCGUGGCGAAGGCGGCUCUCUGGUACGUGACUGACGCUGAGACGCGAAAGCGUGGGGAGCGAGCAGG